This 433-nucleotide ribosomal RNA is filed under the name uncultured bacterium. RNAcentral describes it as "partial 16S ribosomal RNA". It matches the Rfam family "Bacterial small subunit ribosomal RNA", at positions 34 to 507 of the family's 1533-position model. The record is from RNAcentral.
CCCGCCCGCUGGCGGCAUGCCUAACACAUGCAAGUCGAACGAGACCUUCGGGUCUAGUGGCGCACGGGUGCGUAACGCGUGGGAACCUGCCCUUAGGUUCGGAAUAACUCCCCGAAAGGGGUGCUAAUACCGGAUAAUGUCUUCGGACCAAAGAUUUAUCGCCUUUGGAUGGGCCCGCGUUGGAUUAGCUAGUUGGUAGGGUAAAAGCCUACCAAGGCGACGAUCCAUAGCUGGUCUGAGAGGAUGAUCAGCCACACUGGGACUGAGACACGGCCCAGACUCCUACGGGAGGCAGAAGUGGGGAAUAUUGGACAAUGGGCGAAAGCCUGAUACAGCAAUGCCGCGUGAGUGAUGAAGGCCUUAGGGUUGUAAAGCUCUUUUACCCGGGAUGAUAAUGACAGUACCGGGAGAAUAAGCUCCGGCUAACUCGGUG